UGGGAUCGAUAAUCCCGGAAUGCUGUGAGACGUUUAAGACCACUCGUAUUCCUCUCGGGAGGCUUAAAAGCUACAUGGCAGCUCCAUGGUGCUCGACUCCCGCUGUCAUAUUCGUCAACCGGAGGGAUAUGAAGAUUUGCACCAAAGCCGGCGACGGAUGGGUCAAAAACUGCAAUGAAGUAUCUGGACAGCAAACACAAGAAGUGAGAGACGAAGUGAAAUCUCUGCAUUCCAACAGACUGCCAAGAGUCGUCCCUGAAAGUCCGUUCCAUUCCCUCAGACCCACUGGUGUGGAUAAAAGCGUCGGCAUUGAGUCCACAUCCCACACAGGUCGGAUUACUGCCUGGUGCGUUGUAGAAUUGGACAUCAUAAAGCAUUCACUCGUUCUCCUUAUCGACGAUAUAACCUGUAUAUUAUGUUAAUUUAUUUGUAGUUCUUGCAAUUAUCUUCUUUUAUUUGUCGAGUUGCAGUGUUAAUAAACUUUGAACAUGCGGUUAA
Molecule: long non-coding RNA, 498 nt
Organism: Leucoraja erinaceus (little skate)
Lineage: Eukaryota; Metazoa; Chordata; Chondrichthyes; Rajiformes; Rajidae
Exons: 2
Source: RefSeq, a predicted model, not a curated record